GAAACACCCCUAUGGAGCAGGACUUGCUUCAGUAAGGUUUUGGUGCUCACUGAGUCUUCCUCUUGAGUGUGUCUCU
This 76-nucleotide microRNA precursor is filed under the name Myotis davidii. RNAcentral's name for it is "mir-9229 microRNA precursor family". It matches the Rfam family "mir-9229 microRNA precursor family". The record is from Rfam by way of RNAcentral. Lineage: Eukaryota; Metazoa; Chordata; Mammalia; Chiroptera; Vespertilionidae.